AAGUCUUAUGUUGUGUAUAAUAAUAUCUACCAAACAAUUAUAAAAUAUAUUUUACACUAAUAACACAAUUAUGGCU
RNAcentral lists this transfer RNA (76 nucleotides) under Aureococcus anophagefferens. The record is from RNAcentral. Lineage: Eukaryota; Pelagophyceae; Pelagomonadales; Pelagomonadaceae.